CUCCGUUGCUCCUGCUUCCUCCUUGCUGCCUCCCAUCCUGCUGUCCCCUCCCCCAGGCAGUGUUUGUGCAUCAACAGGACCUGCAGUCCCCAGCUUGGCUUUAACCUUUUGGAUAAAUGAAAAGCAGAUUUUUGACCAGAAGCAGCCCAACAUUGUGAGUAGAGAGACUGCUCACAAGAUCAGCUGAAACAAAACUGAGGGGUUUAAUCUGCUACAUCACGUCCUAUGCCAUGACUGAACAGGAUGAUGUUCAGGCUGUAAGCAGCGCUGUCCAGCCCAUCGUACUUCACACUCUAGCAUGAAUUUCCAAUGUGUUUCCAAAUGAGUAUAAUCUAUGAAAAACCAGGAACCUCCAAAUGCUUCAGUCUAAAGGUUAAUAAACUAGUUUAUCAUU
This is a non-coding RNA of Taeniopygia guttata (zebra finch), 394 nucleotides long. Lineage: Eukaryota; Metazoa; Chordata; Aves; Passeriformes; Estrildidae. The record is from RefSeq and is a predicted model, not a curated record.